ACGGGCCGGCCCGCCCGGCGCCGCCGCCAGCACCGCCAGCUCCGCGGAGAGGGUUUUGAGGCUGAGGAGUCCAAGCUCAAGACAUCAGCAAGGUGAUGCUUUCUCCCCAAAGAUUGUGGUGUUUUGGGGUUGGCUGCUGGCAAUCCUUGGUCCUUGGCUUUUCUGUUACAAGCUGACAGUCACUCUGCUUAUAAAGGAAUCUAGUAAACCAGAUUAAAACCCGACCUGAUUCAGUGGGGCCACACCUUAACUGAAUGUAACAUAUUGAAGAGAUCUUAUUUACAGUCGAUCCACACCCACCUGUAUGUAGACCAAAAUGAAGAACAUGUCCAAACCGGGGUACAUAAUUUAAUC
Choloepus didactylus (southern two-toed sloth) is the source of this 354-nucleotide long non-coding RNA. RefSeq lists it as uncharacterized. The record is from RefSeq and is a predicted model, not a curated record. Lineage: Eukaryota; Metazoa; Chordata; Mammalia; Pilosa; Megalonychidae. The transcript has 3 exons.